This 672-nucleotide ribosomal RNA is filed under the name Kocuria sp. EGI80124. RNAcentral describes it as "bacterial SSU rRNA". It matches the Rfam family "Bacterial small subunit ribosomal RNA", at positions 146 to 830 of the family's 1533-position model. The record is from RNAcentral. Lineage: Bacteria; Bacillati; Actinomycetota; Actinomycetes; Micrococcales; Micrococcaceae.
AGCCUGGGAAACUGGGUCUAAUACUGGAUACUACCUCUUGCCGCAUGGUGGGUGGUGGAAAGGGUUUUACUGGUUUUGGAUGGGCUCACGGCCUAUCAGCUUGUUGGUGGGGUAAUGGCUCACCAAGGCGACGACGGGUAGCCGGCCUGAGAGGGUGACCGGCCACACUGGGACUGAGACACGGCCCAGACUCCUACGGGAGGCAGCAGUGGGGAAUAUUGCACAAUGGGCGGAAGCCUGAUGCAGCGACGCCGCGUGAGGGAUGACGGCCUUCGGGUUGUAAACCUCUUUCAGUAGGGAAGAAGCGAGAGUGACGGUACCUGCAGAAGAAGCGCCGGCUAACUACGUGCCAGCAGCCGCGGUAAUACGUAGGGCGCAAGCGUUGUCCGGAAUUAUUGGGCGUAAAGAGCUCGUAGGCGGUUUGUCGCGUCUGCUGUGAAAGCCCGGGGCUCAACCCCGGGUCUGCAGUGGGUACGGGCAGACUAGAGUGCAGUAGGGGAGACUGGAAUUCCUGGUGUAGCGGUGAAAUGCGCAGAUAUCAGGAGGAACACCGAUGGCGAAGGCAGGUCUCUGGGCUGUUACUGACGCUGAGGAGCGAAAGCAUGGGGAGCGAACAGGAUUAGAUACCCUGGUAGUCCAUGCCGUAAACGUUGGGCACUAGGGUGUGGGGGA